RNAcentral lists this ribosomal RNA (325 nucleotides) under Cercomonadidae sp. Its description in RNAcentral is "SSU rRNA". The stretch from base 112 to 325 matches the Rfam family "Eukaryotic small subunit ribosomal RNA", at positions 740 to 955 of the family's 1831-position model. Lineage: Eukaryota; Cercozoa; Cercomonadida; Cercomonadidae. The record is from RNAcentral.
GAUUUCUGGUUCGGCGCACUUGGCCCGUCUCGGUUUACGGGAUUGUGUGCCGGUGUGCGCCAUCCAUCCUUCGAUGAGAACAUUGCUGCCCUUUACUGGGUGUGUAAUGUCUCUCUCGAUCUUUUACUUUGAAAAAAUUAGAGUGUUUAAAGCAGGCUUGCGCUAUGAAUACAUUAGCAUGGAAUAAUAAUUUAGGACUUUGGUCUUAUUUUGUUGGUUUCUAGGACUAAAGUAAUGAUUGAUAGGGACAGUUGGGGGUGCUAGUAUUCAGCGGCCAGAGGUGAAAUUCUUGGAUUCGCUGAAGACUAACUUAUGCGAAAGCAUU